Long non-coding RNA from Sipha flava (yellow sugarcane aphid), 1137 nucleotides. RefSeq lists it as uncharacterized. The record is from RefSeq and is a predicted model, not a curated record. The transcript is spliced from 3 exons. Lineage: Eukaryota; Metazoa; Arthropoda; Insecta; Hemiptera; Aphididae.
AUACGAAUUUUAUGUUUUGUGUUCGGUGACCGUAAUGUUAUUAUCUGUGUGAUAAGGACAGUGUUAUUUAUUUAUUUACUAAUACUAUUAUUAUUAUUAUUUUUAUUAUUAUUAUUUUCCACUGCGAUUUCUCCAAAACCGAAAUGCGUGUGCAUGGUUUAACGACGACCGCGGCGACGCGUGUGUAUACUACUCAGUAGUGCUAUGACUAUGACGAUGACGGAGGCCGUUCACGCGCGGGGUGUACACGCGUCGUCGUCACCGCAGCGGCGGCCCUUUAUUGAUUUUUCCGUUUUCGCGUGUCGUUCGGUUGUUGUUGAUAAGGAGAGUGAAUUUUUUCCGUCGACGAUCGAUAAAAUUUUUUGCGGGGGUUCUCCUUCUCCGUUGUUUUUCGCCUUCAUCGCCUCGGGCCGGUCGACGAAGACGAUGGCGCGGCGAUCACUGCACAUGAAAAUAUUUACGGAACCGGAACUAAUGGCAGGAAAAGGCGCUCACGCACACGCACACGCACACACAUAACCACACACACAACACACAUACACGCGCGCGCGCUCGGAGUAAACAAACAAACAUAGGAAAGACAACGGCCCGAAAGUACGAGGAAAUCGAUUGCGCGGGGGCGGCGGUGGUAUAAACAAAACGAGUGAAAAUUAUACAAGACGAGGAAGUAGACUAUCUGUUUAAUAUAAUCUAAUCGGCCCGCGUCCCCGACUCGGGAAUAUAACAUUUUUCGACGUAUUAUGAUAACUACUACUACUACUACUACUACUACUUGCCAGCUGCCACAAUUCCGACGUGUCUCUCUCUGCUCCCAUUUACUUAAUUUUUUUUUCGUUCCUUUUGCUUUUCGCAGUUCCGUGCCGAUGUGUUAUAUCUGUCAAAACUUCAUACUCCAGUGGAUUUCUACGAUGGUGAUUGUGUAAUGCAACUCACGACUGCAAUGUGAUGUCACUGUUUGAUCCAACUCAUAUGGCUAUACACCAGAUUGUCAUAUAUUGAUGAGUAUUUAGUUUCUGAAAUCUAUAAGAGAUAUUUGAUUAAUAUAAGGCUGAACUGAUUGAUUACCAGAGACGUUUGAUACUCACCGAAUACUACAAAUUCACUGGUUUACAUACAAAAGAAUGGUUAUCACAAGAU